Molecule: transfer RNA, 73 nt
Filed under: Aspergillus flavus NRRL3357
Lineage: Eukaryota; Fungi; Ascomycota; Eurotiomycetes; Eurotiales; Aspergillaceae
Description: tRNA-Gly (CCC) (tRNA-Gly-CCC-1-1)
Rfam family: tRNA
About the family: Transfer RNA (tRNA) molecules are approximately 80 nucleotides in length. Their secondary structure includes four short double-helical elements and three loops (D, anti-codon, and T loops). Further hydrogen bonds mediate the characteristic L-shaped molecular structure. tRNAs have two regions of fundamental functional importance: the anti-codon, which is responsible for specific mRNA codon recognition, and the 3' end, to which the tRNAs corresponding amino acid is attached (by aminoacyl-tRNA synthetases). tRNAs cope with the degeneracy of the genetic code in two manners: having more than one tRNA (with a specific anti-codon) for a particular amino acid; and 'wobble' base-pairing, i.e. permitting non-standard base-pairing at the 3rd anti-codon position.
Source: RNAcentral
GCGGGUGUAGUCUAGUGGUUAUGAUGCGCGCUUCCCAAGCGCGAGGUCCGGGGUUCGAACCCCCGUUCCCGCA